Molecule: ribosomal RNA, 429 nt
Filed under: uncultured archaeon
Lineage: Archaea
Description: bacterial SSU rRNA
Rfam family: Archaeal small subunit ribosomal RNA
Source: RNAcentral
UACCAGCUCUCCGAGUGGUAGGGAUGAUUAUUGGGCUUAAAGCGUCCGUAGCCGGCUUAGCAAGUCUCCUGUUAAAUUCAGCGACCUAAUCGUUGAGCCGCGGGAGAUACUACUAGGCUAGGAGGCGGGAGAGGUCAACGGUACUUCCGGGGUAGGGGUGAAAUCCUAUAAUCCCGGGAGGACCACCAGUGGCGAAGGCUGUUGACUAGAACGCGCUCGACGGUGAGGGACGAAAGCUGGGGGAGCGAACCGGAUUAGAUACCCGGGUAGUCCCAGCUGUAAACGAUGCGAGCUAGGUGUUGGGGUGGCUACGUGCCACUUCAGUGCCGCAGGGAAGCCAUUAAGCUCGCCGCCUGGAGAGUACGGCCGCAAGGCUGAAACUUAAAGGAAUUGGCGGGGGAGCACCACAAGGCGUGAAGCUUGCGGUUC